Molecule: microRNA precursor, 113 nt
Filed under: Lucilia cuprina (Australian sheep blowfly)
Lineage: Eukaryota; Metazoa; Arthropoda; Insecta; Diptera; Calliphoridae
Description: microRNA mir-252
Rfam family: mir-252 microRNA precursor family (bases 18-97)
Source: RNAcentral
AAGAUCAAAAACGAAAAUCACUUUUCUAAGUACUAGUGCCGCAGGAGAUGGUACUUUUUAAAUAAAACUCCUGCUGCCCAAGUGCUUAUCAAAGAGAUUUAGUUGUCAACAAA